RNAcentral lists this ribosomal RNA (165 nucleotides) under Chaetothyriaceae sp. RNAcentral describes it as "partial large subunit ribosomal RNA". It matches the Rfam family "Eukaryotic large subunit ribosomal RNA", at positions 99 to 261 of the family's 3401-position model. Lineage: Eukaryota; Fungi; Ascomycota; Eurotiomycetes; Chaetothyriales; Chaetothyriaceae. The record is from RNAcentral.
CGGCAACAGCUCAAAUUUGAAAUCUGGCGCCUUCAGCGUCCGAGUUGUAAUUUGUAGAGGAUGUUCCGACCACGGCCCCGGGUUAAGUUUCUUGGAACAGAACGUCAGAGAGGGUGAGAACCCCGUCCUGACCCGGUGGCACGAGUCAAGUGGAACUCCUUCGAC